UAACAAGGAUUCCCCUAGUAACUGCGAGUGAAGCGGGAAGAGCUCAAAUUUUAAAUCUGGCGGUCCCUGGCCGUCCGAGUUGUAAUCUGGAGAGGUGUUUUCCGCGUCGGACCGUGUACAAGUCUCCUGGAAUGGAGCGUCAUAGAGGGUGAGAAUCCCGUCCAUGACACGGACCGCCGAUGCUUUGUGAUACGCCUUCGAAGAGUCGAGUUGUUUGGGAAUGCAGCUCAAAAUGGGUGGUAAAUUCCAUCUAAAGCUAAAUAUUGGCGAGAGACCGAUAGCGAACAAGUACCGUGAGGGAAAGAUGAAAAGCACUUUGGAAAGAGAGUUAAACAGUACGUGAAAUUGUUGAAAGGGAAACGCUUGAAGUCAGUCGCGUCCCGUAGAACUCAGCCUGGCCUCGGCCUGGUGUACUUUCUAUGCGGACGGGUCAACAUCAAUUUUGGCCGGCGGAGAAAGGUGAAGGGAAUGUAGCGUUGCUUCGGCGACGUGUUAUAGCCCUUUGCUGCAUACGUCGGCUGGGAUUGAGGACCGCAGCACGCCCUUGUGGCCGGGGGUUCGCCCCACGUAUCGUGCUUAGGAUGUUGGCAUAAUGGCUUUAAGCGACCCGUCUUGAAACACGGACCAAGGAGUCUAACAUGCCUGCGAGUGUUCGGGUGGAAAACCCUUGCGCGUAAUGAAAGUGAAAGUUGGGAACCUCCGCAAGGGGGUGCACCGACGCCCGGCCCUGAAGUUCUCUGACGGUGCUGCGGUAGAGCAUGUAUGUUGGGACCCGAAAGAUGGUGAACUAUGCCUGAAUAGGGCGAAGCCAGAGGAAACUCUGGUGGAGGCUCGUAGCGAUUCUGACGUGCAAAUCGAUCGUCAAAUUUGGG
RNAcentral lists this ribosomal RNA (872 nucleotides) under Neomensularia kanehirae. Its description in RNAcentral is "eukaryotic LSU rRNA". It matches the Rfam family "Eukaryotic large subunit ribosomal RNA", at positions 66 to 915 of the family's 3401-position model. Lineage: Eukaryota; Fungi; Basidiomycota; Agaricomycetes; Hymenochaetales; Hymenochaetaceae. The record is from RNAcentral.